GUCCAGGGGCGGGAAUCGAACCCACACCCUUCUGCUUACCGGGCCUUGUCCACUCGGCUACCCUGGA
This is a non-coding RNA of Cordylochernes scorpioides, 67 nucleotides long. The record is from the annotation of a GenBank genome assembly. NCBI's taxonomy places the organism in Eukaryota, Metazoa, Arthropoda, Arachnida, Pseudoscorpiones, Chernetidae.